CCUCCGCCCCUUGGUGCAGCUGCUGUUCCGAGGCCACUGUUGAGCUGAUUCUCCACAGCUGGUUCGGAAAACCAUGGCCCACUCGUCCUGUCCUUGAUGUUCUCAUGAAUAGCUUGCUACACCGUUUUGAUCCAAGAAAGCAGUUGGAACACUCUGGAGGGAAUGGAUUCCACAGCCUAAAGUAAUCUUGGCAAUCACAUGAGCGCAAAAAGCCAGUCUUCAAGAUCUGUCCCAUGUUCAGAAUUUUCACCACAUGAAGGCUCUAGGAAACACUAAAAACCUCUCUCAAGUUCUUUAAAGCCAUUCUUUAUCU
This is a long non-coding RNA of Myotis lucifugus (little brown bat), 313 nucleotides long. RefSeq lists it as uncharacterized. Lineage: Eukaryota; Metazoa; Chordata; Mammalia; Chiroptera; Vespertilionidae. The transcript is spliced from 2 exons. The record is from RefSeq and is a predicted model, not a curated record.